Long non-coding RNA from Drosophila novamexicana, 381 nucleotides. RefSeq lists it as uncharacterized. The transcript has 3 exons. The record is from RefSeq and is a predicted model, not a curated record. NCBI's taxonomy places the organism in Eukaryota, Metazoa, Arthropoda, Insecta, Diptera, Drosophilidae.
GAUAACUCCAAAAAUUUAAAAUAUAUAUAUUUUUAAUAUAUCGAAAAGGACAUAUAAGGAGCAUACGACUCGCACAACUACAUCAAAUUCAUUUACAAAAAAAAUGUAUAUACUUGAGUUCACAUUGCUUUAAAUUUCUCAAAUUUACUAUCUCUUUACUUGUGUUUAAUUUGAUGGCAUUUUAUUAGAAAACCAGCUCUUGGUUAUUUUUUUAAAAUUCUUUUACCCUCUGCAAGAGUAUUCAAGCUUCGGCAUGCCAAAGGACAGCUGUACAGUCUGUGGACAGGCUGCGGAGCUAACCGAGCGUCAAUUGUAAUAACAUAACAUCUAAGUGGGACUAUCCGCCUUGGAGCCGGCAUUCGAAUUGUCUUGCAUUUGAGC